RNAcentral lists this long non-coding RNA (1466 nucleotides) under Homo sapiens (human). RNAcentral describes it as "uncharacterized LOC105369995, transcript variant 1 (LOC105369995)". The record is from RNAcentral. Lineage: Eukaryota; Metazoa; Chordata; Mammalia; Primates; Hominidae.
AGAAGCCUGUUACCAGAAGCACUGGUUACUUCCCCCGUCCUCUCAGCUCUGGGAAGGGUGGGGUGGUCAUGAAGUCCUGAGAGAGCAGAGGGACACACCAACUUCUCUUGUUGGUUCCCUCAACCCUGCCCAUACCUAUGGGUAAUCAGAGAUGGAUUCAGUCUCCAGUUAGGAUCCUCAUCAAGGUAUUUGUAUGGGGGAUUCCAUGCAGAUGGUGUAUAGAGAGAAGAUAGACACAAGGGAUCUUCAUAGCCAAGGACUGGAUUUGAACAAGUCAGUCUCCAGCUAUGUUUUAGACACUGAGGACUGUGCCCGUCAUCCCUUAGAGCUUCUCUCUGGGCCACUGGCUCGAAGGGCACAUCUCAGGGAAAAAGGUCAGUGUGAUUCCCUUAUUUCUUUGUGGAAAGACCUCAGUAGCCAAAGGUGUUUGCCCGUGUUAUUUGUCUGAACAAGAUCUUCUCUAGGACAGCUAGGUCCACAGGACAGCACCAAGAGUUACUCUGCAUGCUUAUAGUACCUGCUUACGAACAGAAACAGAGGCAAUAUUCACAUGAAAGCUCAAAUGUGGAUCUCUCCUACCAUAGUCACGUCUUCACAAGCUGACAGCCCUCUCAAUUCUGAGAUUUGUUAUUCAGUCUUUUCCCAAUAGGAUCUACAAAGCACCUCUUGACCAUUUAUCAUGCAUGGAACCAACAUGUCAAAUUCCUCAAUAACUGAUUCCCGCCUAGGAUCACACUCAUUGACUAGCUCCGCCAAUUCUUACAAUUCAUUCAGGCUCUGCUACAAGCAUACAGCUUUGCUAGAAGUAGAUUUCUUCUAGGAAAUUUCAUGCUACUGAGAGGUUGUGUGGCAGAGCCAUGUUGCCAUUCUUCCAGCAUGACUUGAUAGCUAAGUUGAACACUAUCCCAAGGAGAUGCCUCCUUGACAACUUACACUGCAAAGUGAAUCAUAACCCUGACCCUGGAGACUGCUAUAACGGGCUCCUGUGAGAGUUCUAUUUGCAGAACCCAGAAUUCACAACGGAACAUCAACAUAUCCAAAAGACAAGUUUCAAUGAACAGAUUCUCAGCAAAAGGACUCUAAGGAUGCAGAGGAAGGGAAGUCACCCAAUCUGGGAAGGAGGUUUUUAUUAAGUAUAAAAACAGGUCAUCCACACAUAGCAAUGUGCUUUUCUAGAGAAAACCAUCCUACUCACCGAGAGCCAGGAUUGAGUGGGGCUUCUGCUGUGUCUCUAGAUGAUGCCUUAAGAAACACCCACUCCCCGUGAGGGAUGUUACCAAGAAGUCAAGAACCACCAGUAACUUUGAAAAGUCCAGAUUACUCAGUCUCGGGUAUGUGUAUCAGCAAUGUGAAAACGGACUAGUACAUCUCUAGAGGCACAUGCCAUGUGGUCCAGCCAUAAUUAUUUGUUGUCACAACUAAGUUUCCUUUCUAUAUGAAAAGAUUAUAUUGAUCAGAAUUCUAAA